CUAGAGAUCCCUUCUCCAGAGUUUUGCAGUAAGCCCAGGAUGUGGACGACUGUGGGAGAAGGAGCAAUCAUAGAGGGAUUUUCCUGUGCUAUUCACAUGAAGUUUCUGAUGCUCAGCAACGUGAGGACUUUCUGAAGUAGAGACUGGAUCAGAGGCUAACAGCUUCCUCACUUAAGUGUAAGGCUGACACCCAGCAGUACAAACAUGCUUACAAUGCCCUGAGGAAAGGCUAAGAAGAUGCUACAUGUCACGCCAACCAUCAGCGGAAAUCUUAACUGUUUAUUUUCUCUGGAAAUUCCUUCUUAAUGGUUUUUGUGCAUGUGGUUUUUUACUAUUAUUAUUAUUUAAAAAUCUGCUACCUAUCCAUUAAAUUACAUGCUUAGCAACUCGCAUGUAACAGCAAAAGAGACAAGAAUAAUCUUUAACCUGUUGGUUGGCAGUUCAUCUCAGCUUCUAGCACAAAUUUUGCCUCUAGGAAAUCAAGAAGUUAUUGAGGAUAAAAUCGAAAGCUUCAUAUUACUAAUAAGUACUCAGAUAUUAAAGGUCUCUUCCAUUAAAAUGCAGAGGCUGGCAAUCAUUGUUUAAAGAUAAUGGUUUUAACAUCAGCUAGGAAAAUAAGAUUUCGUUUAGUGAAAUUUGAUAUAAUUGGAAUAUGAAACAAUAGAGGAAUAGAUAAUGCAUUUAAUUUUCACAGGUGAAGACUUCAAUAAAUCAUCUGUGAACUUGCCACAAAUGAGUCCUGUUUACUAAACUGGGAAGUUGUAAGAGCAAUUUGUGCUUGAGUCGGUGUCUGGUUCAGAAGAGACAUCAAGACAAAGUGGGAAAUUAAUGGUGAAGAGAAUUGACCAAAGAAUAAGGCAGUAGACAAAAAUCAGUAGGAUGUGGUUUCCCAAUGCAGGGUGCUGAUUUUUAGCUAAGGAUAAUCUACUAUUUCAUAUCUGGAGCAACAUCUGUAUUUCUCCACUUUGGCAGAUACAAAACUUCCUGGUUUUUUACUCAUUCUUUGGAGAACAAGGCAGUUCCCAAUGUCUCUGCUUGUGAGAAAACAUCCUAGAGAGGCAUUGCUGUGACCUGGAGUGGAUUUUUCAGAAGAUAAGACAAUUAGAACUUAGCUCCCCAAAUGCAGAAAUCCCCCCCAAUCCACUUUCCUUCUCCUGUGCAUAGCAGGGUGUGCCAGGAGACUCCUCAACCAAAGUAUGAGGAGAAGAUAUACGAAUGUAUUAUCUACAGUUCAUGAAGGAGACAGAAGAGAGAUAAUAAGAGAAAAUAAUGAAUAAGUUUAGGGCCAAGUAGCUGUCUUUAAUGAGGUUAAUACCU
Molecule: long non-coding RNA, 1317 nt
Organism: Lagopus muta (rock ptarmigan)
Lineage: Eukaryota; Metazoa; Chordata; Aves; Galliformes; Phasianidae
Exons: 3
Source: RefSeq, a predicted model, not a curated record